Molecule: ribosomal RNA, 1509 nt
Filed under: Helicobacter pylori
Lineage: Bacteria; Pseudomonadati; Campylobacterota; Epsilonproteobacteria; Campylobacterales; Helicobacteraceae
Description: bacterial SSU rRNA
Rfam family: Bacterial small subunit ribosomal RNA
Source: RNAcentral
UUUAUGGAGAGUUUGAUCCUGGCUCAGAGUGAACGCUGGCGGCGUGCCUAAUACAUGCAAGUCGAACGAUGAAGCUUCUAGCUUGCUAGAGUGCUGAUUAGUGGCGCACGGGUGAGUAACGCAUAGGUCAUGUGCCUCUUAGUUUGGGAUAGCCAUUGGAAACGAUGAUUAAUACCAGAUACUCCCUACGGGGGAAAGAUUUAUCGCUAAGAGAUCAGCCUAUGUCCUAUCAGCUUGUUGGUAAGGUAAUGGCUUACCAAGGCUAUGACGGGUAUCCGGCCUGAGAGGGUGAACGGACACACUGGAACUGAGACACGGUCCAGACUCCUACGGGAGGCAGCAGUAGGGAAUAUUGCUCAAUGGGGGAAACCCUGAAGCAGCAACGCCGCGUGGAGGAUGAAGGUUUUAGGAUUGUAAACUCCUUUUGUUAGAGAAGAUAAUGACGGUAUCUAACGAAUAAGCACCGGCUAACUCCGUGCCAGCAGCCGCGGUAAUACGGAGGGUGCAAGCGUUACUCGGAAUCACUGGGCGUAAAGAGCGCGUAGGCGGGAUAGUCAGUCAGGUGUGAAAUCCUAUGGCUUAACCAUAGAACUGCAUUUGAAACUACUAUUCUAGAGUGUGGGAGAGGUAGGUGGAAUUCUUGGUGUAGGGGUAAAAUCCGUAGAGAUCAAGAGGAAUACUCAUUGCGAAGGCGACCUGCUGGAACAUUACUGACGCUGAUUGCGCGAAAGCGUGGGGAGCAAACAGGAUUAGAUACCCUGGUAGUCCACGCCCUAAACGAUGGAUGCUAGUUGUUGGAGGGCUUAGUCUCUCCAGUAAUGCAGCUAACGCAUUAAGCAUCCCGCCUGGGGAGUACGGUCGCAAGAUUAAAACUCAAAGGAAUAGACGGGGACCCGCACAAGCGGUGGAGCAUGUGGUUUAAUUCGAAGAUACACGAAGAACCUUACCUAGGCUUGACAUUGAGAGAAUCCGCUAGAAAUAGUGGAGUGUCUAGCUUGCUAGACCUUGAAAACAGGUGCUGCACGGCUGUCGUCAGCUCGUGUCGUGAGAUGUUGGGUUAAGUCCCGCAACGAGCGCAACCCCCUUUCUUAGUUGCUAACAGGUCAUGCUGAGAACUCUAAGGAUACUGUCUCCGUAAGGAGGAGGAAGGUGGGGACGACGUCAAGUCAUCAUGGCCCUUACGCCUAGGGCUACACACGUGCUACAAUGGGGUGCACAAAGAGAAGCAAUACUGCGAAGUGGAGCCAAUCUUCAAAACGUCUCUCAGUUCGGAUUGUAGGCUGCAACUCGCCUGCAUGAAGCUGGAAUCGCUAGUAAUCGCAAAUCAGCCAUGUUGCGGUGAAUACGUUCCCGGGUCUUGUACUCACCGCCCGUCACACCAUGGGAGUUGUGUUUGCCUUAAGUCAGGAUGCUAAAUUGGCUACUGCCCACGGCACACACAGCGACUGGGGUGAAGUCGUAACAAGGUAACCGUAGGUGAACCUGCGGUUGGAUCACCUCCUUUCUAGA